This 755-nucleotide long non-coding RNA is filed under the name Homo sapiens (human). RNAcentral's name for it is "non-protein coding lnc-ZNF124-3:1". The record is from RNAcentral. Lineage: Eukaryota; Metazoa; Chordata; Mammalia; Primates; Hominidae.
AGGAAGAGGUCCUGGGUAAAGGAGCAGGUGUGUUCUUAGAAGGCCCUCCUGUCUGCUGCUGGAACACAUCACCUGUUUAUUCGUCCUCCAUUUCCCGCUUUGCAGAGCACUGAAAGUCUCUUAAGUUACAGCUUCACAACAGAAGUCUAAAGUCUGCGCAGAACUAGCACAUCUGCAGCCGUAGGAGCAGCAGAAUGACCAGGCAGCAGAGCUUUAUUCCAUGUUUUCAUCUCCAUUCCUACAACAGCAGCGGCAGCAGCAACAACUGCUACUACUUCUAAUUGUGGUAAAAAUACUUAGAAUAAUAAUGCAUAAUGACAAUUGUAGUUGACAUUUUUGGUUUAUAUAUGAUUAUUUGUAAUGUUCUACAAUUUACCUUUAGUAAUAUACACAUAACUUUUGCAUAAACAUCAGGACCCUAAAACACCACACCUGAUGAUUGAAUCUCACCUAUGGACCUAAGGUCUUCACAUGCUGGUGCAGGCCCUCUCACCACUCCAUCUCCAAACAGAGGAUAUGGUCCACCUUCUGAGUCAAUAUAGUAGCCCUGACACUCACAUGAUCUAUUUGAGGUCUUGGAAAACAAGCUUGCCUUGUUAAAAAUCAAAGGAUGGGCCGGGCACGGUGGCUCACGCCUGUAAUCCCAGCACUUUGGGAGGCCGAGGCGGGCUGAUCACGAGGUCAGGAGAUGGAGACCAUCCUGACUAACACGAUGAAACCCCAUCUCUACUAAAAAUACAAAAAAAUUAGCCGGG